UGAGUGAAGAAGGGUUUCGGCUCGUAAAGCUCUGUUGACGGGGACGAAUGUGCGAGAUGCGAAUAGUUUCUUGCAAUGACGGUACCCGUCGAGGAAGCCACGGCUAACUACGUGCCAGCAGCCGCGGUAAUACGUAGGUGGCGAGCGUUGUCCGGAAUUAUUGGGCGUAAAGGGAGCGCAGGCGGGAAGGCAAGUCAGUCUUAAAAGUGCGGGGCUCAACCCCGUGAUGGGAUUGAAACUGUCUUUCUUGAGUGCAGGAGAGGAAAGCGGAAUUCCUAGUGUAGCGGUGAAAUGCGUAGAUAUUAGGAGGAACACCAGUGGCGAAGGCGGCUUUCUGGACUGUAACUGACGCCGAGGCUCGAAAGCGUGGGGAGCGAACAGGAUUAGAUACCCUGGUAGUCCACGCCGUAAACGAUGAGUGCUAGGUGUAGGAGGUAUCGACCCACUGUGUGCCGGAGUUAACGCAAUAAGCACUCCGCCUGGGGAGUACGGUCGCAAGACUGAAACUCAA
This 511-nucleotide ribosomal RNA is filed under the name Pseudoselenomonas ruminantium. Its description in RNAcentral is "bacterial SSU rRNA". It matches the Rfam family "Bacterial small subunit ribosomal RNA", at positions 402 to 904 of the family's 1533-position model. The record is from RNAcentral. Lineage: Bacteria; Bacillati; Bacillota; Negativicutes; Selenomonadales; Selenomonadaceae.